CCUACGGGUGGCUGCAGUGGGGAAUAUUGGACAAUGGGCGAAAGCCUGAUCCAGCCAUGCCGCGUGUGUGAAGAAGGCCUUCGGGUUGUAAAGCACUUUCAGUGGGGAAGAAAGCCUUGGGGCUAAUACCCUCGAGGAAGGACAUCACCCACAGAAGAAGCACCGGCUAACUCCGUGCCAGCAGCCGCGGUAAUACGGAGGGUGCGAGCGUUAAUCGGAAUUACUGGGCGUAAAGCGCGCGUAGGCGGUCUGAUAAGCCGGUUGUGAAAGCCCCGGGCUCAACCUGGGAACGGCAUCCGGAACUGUCAGGCUAGAGUGCAGGAGAGGAAGGUAGAAUUCCCGGUGUAGCGGUGAAAUGCGGAGAGAUCGGGAGGAAUACCAGUGGCGAAGGCGGCCUUCUGGACUGACACUGACGCUGAGGUGCGAAAGCGUGGGUAGCAAACAGGAUUAGAUACCCUGGUAGUC
Molecule: ribosomal RNA, 465 nt
Filed under: Vreelandella stevensii
Lineage: Bacteria; Pseudomonadati; Pseudomonadota; Gammaproteobacteria; Oceanospirillales; Halomonadaceae
Description: partial 16S ribosomal RNA
Rfam family: Bacterial small subunit ribosomal RNA
Source: RNAcentral